This is a long non-coding RNA of Etheostoma spectabile (orangethroat darter), 118 nucleotides long. RefSeq lists it as uncharacterized. The record is from RefSeq and is a predicted model, not a curated record. The transcript has 3 exons. Lineage: Eukaryota; Metazoa; Chordata; Actinopteri; Perciformes; Percidae.
AAAUCUGUUUUCUAGAAUGAACUCUGCAGUCCCUGAACAGAAAGGUUUAUACGGAAAAUAAAACAACUUAAGUCCCUGUAUUGUGUUCUACUGUUACGGUUUAUCUUUAAAAAAUAAA